RNAcentral lists this ribosomal RNA (253 nucleotides) under uncultured bacterium. RNAcentral's name for it is "partial 16S ribosomal RNA". It matches the Rfam family "Bacterial small subunit ribosomal RNA", at positions 524 to 776 of the family's 1533-position model. The record is from RNAcentral.
GACGUAGGGCGCGAGCGUUGUCCGGAUUUAUUGGGCGUAAAGAGCUCGUAGGCGGCUUGUCGCGUCGACCGUGAAAACUUGGGGCUCAACCCCAAGCCUGCGGUCGAUACGGGCAGGCUCGAGUUCGGUAGGGGAGACUGGAAUUCCUGGUGUAGCGGUGAAAUGCGCAGAUAUCAGGAGGAACACCGAUGGCGAAGGCAGGUCUCUGGGCCGAUACUGACGCUGAGGAGCGAAAGCGUGGGGAGCGAACAGG